This 497-nucleotide ribosomal RNA is filed under the name uncultured bacterium. RNAcentral's name for it is "partial 16S ribosomal RNA". It matches the Rfam family "Bacterial small subunit ribosomal RNA", at positions 28 to 507 of the family's 1533-position model. The record is from RNAcentral.
GAUGAACGCUGGCGGCGUGCCUAAUACAUGCAAGUCGAGCGAACAGACGAGGAGCUUGCUCCUCUGACGUUAGCGGCGGACGGGUGAGUAACACGUGGAUAACCUACCUAUAAGACUGGGAUAACUUCGGGAAACCGGAGCUAAUACCGGAUAAUAUAUUGAACCGCAUGGUUCAAUAGUGAAAGACGGUUUUGCUGUCACUUAUAGAUGGAUCCGCGCCGCAUUAGCUAGUUGGUAAGGUAACGGCUUACCAAGGCAACGAUGCGUAGCCGACCUGAGAGGGUGAUCGGCCACACUGGAACUGAGACACGGUCCAGACUCCUACGGGAGGCAGCAGUAGGGAAUCUUCCGCAAAGGACGAAAGCCUGACGGAGCAACGCCGCGUGAGUGAUGAAGGUCUUCGGAUCGUAAAACUCUGUUAUUAGGGAAGAACAAAUGUGUAAGUAACUAUGCACGUCUUGACGGUACCUAAUCAGAAAGCCACGGCUAACUACGUG